RNAcentral lists this ribosomal RNA (514 nucleotides) under uncultured bacterium. Its description in RNAcentral is "bacterial SSU rRNA". It matches the Rfam family "Bacterial small subunit ribosomal RNA", at positions 32 to 524 of the family's 1533-position model. The record is from RNAcentral.
AAUCAACGCUGGCGGCGUGCCUCAGACAUGCAAGUCGAACGCGAAAGUCCCCUUCGGGGGAUAAGUAGAGUGGCGUCCGGGUGAGUAACACGUAGGUAAUCUACCUUUGGGUGGGGAAUAACAACCGGAAACGGUUGCUAAUACCGCAUAAUGCAGCGGCACCACAUGGUGACAGUUGCUAAAGCGGGGGAUCGCAAGACCUCGCGCCUAAAGAGGAGCCUGCGGCGGAUUAGCUAGNGGUAGGGUAACGGCCUACCAAGGCAACGAUCCGUAGCCGGCCUGAGAGGGCGGUCGGCCACACUGACACUGAAAUACGGGUCAGACUCCUACGGGAGGCAGCAGUCGGGAAUUUUGGGCAAUGGGCGAAAGCCUGACCCAGCAACGCCGCGUGAAGGAUGAAAUCCCUCGGGAUGUAAACUUCGCAAGAACAGGAAGAAUAAGUAGGGACAAUACCCCCUAUGAUGACGUACUGUUUGUAAGCUCCGGCUAACUCCGUGCCAGCAGCCGCGGUAAU